RNAcentral lists this ribosomal RNA (468 nucleotides) under uncultured bacterium. RNAcentral describes it as "partial 16S ribosomal RNA". It matches the Rfam family "Bacterial small subunit ribosomal RNA", at positions 28 to 507 of the family's 1533-position model. The record is from RNAcentral.
GACGAACGCUGGCGGCGUGCUUAACACAUGCAAGUCGAACGGAAAGGCCCUUCUUUUGUGGGGUGCUCGAGUGGCGAACGGGUGAGUAACACGUGAGUAACCUGCCCUUGACUUUGGGAUAACUUCAGGAAACUGGGGCUAAUACCGGAUAGGAGCUCCUGCUGCAUGGUGGUGUUUGGAAAGUUUCGGCGGUUGGGGAUGGACUCGCGGCUUAUCAGCUUGUUGGUGGGGUAGUGGCUUACCAAGGCUUUGACGGGUAGCCGGCCUGAGAGGGUGACCGGCCACAUUGGGACUGAGAUACGGCCCAGACUCCUACGGGAGGCAGCAGUGGGGAAUAUUGCACAAUGGGCGGAAGCCUGAUGCAGCAACGCCGCGUGCGGGAUGACGGCCUUCGGGUUGUAAACCGCUUUCGCCUGUGACGAAGCGUGAGUGACGGUAAUGGGUAAAGAAGCACCGGCUAACUACGUG